GACGAACGCUGGCGGCGUGCUUAACACAUGCAAGUCGAACGGAAAGGCCCUGCUUUUGUGGGGUGCUCGAGUGGCGAACGGGUGAGUAACACGUGAGUAACCUGCCCUUGACUUUGGGAUAACUUCAGGAAACUGGGGCUAAUACCGGAUAGGAUCUCCUGCUGCAUGGUGGGGGUUGGAAAGUUUCGGCGGUUGGGGAUGGACUCGCGGCUUAUCAGCUUGUUGGUGGGGUAGUGGCUUACCAAGGCUUUGACGGGUAGCCGGCCUGAGAGGGUGACCGGCCACAUUGGGACUGAGAGACGGCCCAGACUCCUACGGGAGGGAGCAGUGGGGAAUAUUGCACAAUGGGCGGAAGCCUGAUGCAGCAACGCCGCGUGCGGGAUGACGGCCUUCGGGUUGUAAGCCGCUUUCGCCUGUGACGAAGCGUGAGUGACGGUAAUGGGUAAAGAAGCACCGGCUAACUACGU
RNAcentral lists this ribosomal RNA (467 nucleotides) under uncultured bacterium. RNAcentral describes it as "partial 16S ribosomal RNA". It matches the Rfam family "Bacterial small subunit ribosomal RNA", at positions 28 to 506 of the family's 1533-position model. The record is from RNAcentral.